AGAGAUUGUAAACUCAAGAAUAUUGAGAACAAGGAAGCAAGAGGAUUAUGAUUCUGAAAUGAUGACGGACUGCAAAGAUUAUGGAAAGAAGAUAUUCGAGAUUGGAAAAUGCUCGACUAUAAGUAGGAGACGAAUUAAAUGAAAUUAGGCUAACAGUCAAAGAAAUAGAAAGACAUGACUCUUGAUAGAGAUUUAAGGUUUAGGGUUCUUGGUGAGUGAGAUACUUGUGUGUGACGCAACUAGAUUUGUAGCAAGAAAUCUUGGAUAAUUAGGAAUUGGUCAGUUGUGAUA
This 291-nucleotide long non-coding RNA is filed under the name Brassica napus (rape). RNAcentral's name for it is "long non-coding RNA (BNAP_LNC025943)". The record is from RNAcentral. Lineage: Eukaryota; Viridiplantae; Streptophyta; Magnoliopsida; Brassicales; Brassicaceae.